AUUGAACGCUGGCGGCAUGCUUUACACAUGCAAGUCGAACGGUAACAGGCCUUCGGGUGCUGACGAGUGGCGAACGGGUGAGUAAUGCAUCGGAACGUGCCCAGAGGUGGGGGAUAACGCAGCGAAAGCUGUGCUAAUACCGCAUGUGAUCUGAGGAUGAAAGCGGGGGACCAGGCAGCAAUGUUUGGCCUCGCGCCUUUGGAGCGGCCGAUGUCAGAUUAGGUAGUUGGUGGGGUAAAGGCCUACGAAGCCGACGAUCUGUAGCUGGUCUGAGAGGACGACCAGCCACACUGGGACUGAGACACGGCCCAGACUCCUACGGGAGGCAGCAGUGGGGAAUGUUGGACAAUGGGCGCAAGCCUGAUCCAGCAAUGCCGCGUGCGGGAAGAAGGCCUUCGGGUUGUAAACCGCUUUUGUACGGAACGAAAAGGCUCUGGCUAAUACCUGGGGCUGAUGACGGUACCGGAAGAAUAAGCACCGGCUAACUACGUG
RNAcentral lists this ribosomal RNA (492 nucleotides) under uncultured bacterium. Its description in RNAcentral is "partial 16S ribosomal RNA". It matches the Rfam family "Bacterial small subunit ribosomal RNA", at positions 29 to 507 of the family's 1533-position model. The record is from RNAcentral.